Molecule: ribosomal RNA, 460 nt
Filed under: uncultured bacterium
Lineage: Bacteria
Description: partial 16S ribosomal RNA
Rfam family: Bacterial small subunit ribosomal RNA
Source: RNAcentral
CCUACGGGAGGCAGCAGUGAGGAAUAUUGGUCAAUGGACGAGAGUCUGAACCAGCCAAGUCGCGUGAAGGAAGACUGCCCUAUGGGUUGUAAACUUCUUUUGUACGGGAGUAAAUGGAGGCACGUGUGUCUGUUUGCAAGUAUCUUACGAAUAAGGAUCGGCUAACUCCGUGCCAGCAGCCGCGGUAAUACGGAGGAUCCGAGCGUUAUACGGAUUUAUUGGGUUUAAAGGGAGCGUAGGUGGGUUGUUAAGUCAGUUGUGAAAGUUUGCGGCUCAACCGUAAAAUUGCAGUUGAUACUGGCAGUCUUGAGUACAGUAGAGGUAGGCGGAAUUCGUGGUGUAGCGGUGAAAUGCUUAGAUAUCACGAAGAACCCCGAUUGCGAAGGCAGCAUACUGGACUGUAACUGACGUUGAUGCUCGAAAGUGUGGGUAUCAAACAGGAUUAGAUACCCCUGUAGUC